UACGUAGGGUCCGAGCGUUGUCCGGAAUUAUUGGGCGUAAAGGGCUCGUAGGCGGUUUGUCACGUCGGGAGUGAAAACUCAGGGCUCAACCCUGAGCGUGCUUCCGAUACGGGCAGACUAGAGGUAUGCAGGGGAGAACGGAAUUCCUGGUGUAGCGGCGGAAUGCGCAGAUAUCAGGAGGAACACCGGUGGCGAAGGCGGUUCUCUGGGCAUUACCUGACGCUGAGGAGCGAAAGCAUGGGGAGCGAACAGG
This 253-nucleotide ribosomal RNA is filed under the name uncultured bacterium. Its description in RNAcentral is "partial 16S ribosomal RNA". It matches the Rfam family "Bacterial small subunit ribosomal RNA", at positions 524 to 776 of the family's 1533-position model. The record is from RNAcentral.